Molecule: ribosomal RNA, 933 nt
Filed under: Clavibacter sp.
Lineage: Bacteria; Bacillati; Actinomycetota; Actinomycetes; Micrococcales; Microbacteriaceae
Description: bacterial SSU rRNA
Rfam family: Bacterial small subunit ribosomal RNA
Source: RNAcentral
UGCAGUCGACGGUGAUGUCAGAGCUUGCUCUGGCGGAUCAGUGGCGAACGGGUGAGUAACACGUGAGUAACCUGCCCCCGACUCUGGGAUAACUGCUAGAAAUGGUAGCUAAUACCGGAUAUGACGACUGGCCGCAUGGUCUGGUCGUGGAAAGAAUUUCGGUUGGGGAUGGACUCGCGGCCUAUCAGGUUGUUGGUGAGGUAAUGGCUCACCAAGCCUACGACGGGUAGCCGGCCUGAGAGGGUGACCGGCCACACUGGGACUGAGACACGGCCCAGACUCCUACGGGAGGCAGCAGUGGGGAAUAUUGCACAAUGGGCGCAAGCCUGAUGCAGCAACGCCGCGUGAGGGAUGACGGCCUUCGGGUUGUAAACCUCUUUUAGUAGGGAAGAAGCGAAAGUGACGGUACCUGCAGAAAAAGCACCGGCUAACUACGUGCCAGCAGCCGCGGUAAUACGUAGGGUGCAAGCGUUGUCCGGAAUUAUUGGGCGUAAAGAGCUCGUAGGCGGUUUGUCGCGUCUGCUGUGAAAUCCCGAGGCUCAACCUCGGGUCUGCAGUGGGUACGGGCAGACUAGAGUGCGGUAGGGGAGAUUGGAAUUCCUGGUGUAGCGGUGGAAUGCGCAGAUAUCAGGAGGAACACCGAUGGCGAAGGCAGAUCUCUGGGCCGUAACUGACGCUGAGGAGCGAAAGCAUGGGGAGCGAACAGGAUUAGAUACCCUGGUAGUCCAUGCCGUAAACGUUGGGAACUAGAUGUGGGGACCAUUCCACGGUCUCCGUGUCGCAGCUAACGCAUUAAGUUCCCCGCCUGGGGGAGUACGGCCGCAAGGCUAAAACUCAAAGGAAUUGACGGGGGCCCGCACAAGCGGCGGAGCAUGCGGAUUAAUUCGAUGCAACGCGAAGAACCUUACCAAGGCUUGACAUAUACCGGAAACA